This 76-nucleotide transfer RNA is filed under the name Bdellovibrionales bacterium. Its description in RNAcentral is "tRNA-Trp". It matches the Rfam family "tRNA". From Rfam's summary of the family: Transfer RNA (tRNA) molecules are approximately 80 nucleotides in length. Their secondary structure includes four short double-helical elements and three loops (D, anti-codon, and T loops). Lineage: Bacteria; Pseudomonadati; Bdellovibrionota; Bdellovibrionia; Bdellovibrionales. The record is from RNAcentral.
AGGGCAGUAGCUCUAACGGUAGAGCAACGGACUCCAAAUCCGUAGGUUGUGGGUUCGAAUCCCUCCUGCCCUGCCA